RNAcentral lists this transfer RNA (87 nucleotides) under Gammaproteobacteria bacterium. RNAcentral describes it as "tRNA-Leu". It matches the Rfam family "tRNA". Rfam says of the family: Transfer RNA (tRNA) molecules are approximately 80 nucleotides in length. Lineage: Bacteria; Pseudomonadati; Pseudomonadota; Gammaproteobacteria. The record is from RNAcentral.
GCCGAAGUGGUGAAAUUGGUAGACACGCCACCUUGAGGGGGUGGUGAGCGUAUGCUCGUGGAGGUUCGAGUCCUCUCUUCGGCACCA